CCUACGGGUGGCAGCAGUGAGGAAUAUUGGUCAAUGGCCGUAAGGCUGAACCAGCCAAGUAGCGUGAGGGAAGACUGCCCUAUGGGUUGUAAACCUCUUUUAUGCGGGGAUAAAGGUGUCCACGUGUGGAUGUUUGCAGGUACCGCAUGAAUAAGGACCGGCUAAUUCCGUGCCAGCAGCCGCGGUAAUACGGAGGAUCCGAGCGUUAUCCGGAUUUAUUGGGUUUAAAGGGAGCGUAGAUGGGUUGUUAAGUCAGUUGUGAAAGUUGGGGGCUCAACUGUAAAAUUGCAAUUGAUACUGGCAGUCUAGAGUACAGUUGAGGUAGGCGGAAUUCGUGGUGUAGCGGUGAAAUGCUUAGAUAUCACGAAGAACCCCGAUUGCGAAGGCAGCUUACUAAACUGUGACUGACAUUGAUGCUCGAAAGUGUGGGGAGCAAACAGGAUUAGAUACCCCAGUAGUC
This 460-nucleotide ribosomal RNA is filed under the name uncultured bacterium. RNAcentral describes it as "partial 16S ribosomal RNA". It matches the Rfam family "Bacterial small subunit ribosomal RNA", at positions 338 to 795 of the family's 1533-position model. The record is from RNAcentral.